UACGUAGGGGGCGAGCGUUGUCCGGAUUCAUUGGGCGUAAAGAGCUCGUAGGCGGCUUGGCAAGCCGGGUGUGAAAACUCCAGGCUCAACCUGGAGGCGCCACCCGGGACUGCUAUGGCUAGAGUCCGGUAGGGGAUCACGGAAUUCCUGGUGUAGCGGUGAAAUGCGCAGAUAUCAGGAGGAACACCGGUGGCGAAGGCGGUGAUCUGGGCCGGCACUGACGCUGAGGAGCGAAAGCGUGGGUAGCAAACAGG
This 254-nucleotide ribosomal RNA is filed under the name uncultured bacterium. Its description in RNAcentral is "partial 16S ribosomal RNA". It matches the Rfam family "Bacterial small subunit ribosomal RNA", at positions 524 to 776 of the family's 1533-position model. The record is from RNAcentral.